CUUUAAUUACGUGCGUGAGGGAUAGCAGUGGUUACCCUGCAGUGUUGUGGAGCGAUAGCGCAGCAUCACGAAGCGUAUGAACGUAUAGCCCGGUCACUA
RNAcentral lists this small RNA (99 nucleotides) under Dokdonia sp. Hel_I_63. RNAcentral describes it as "Flavo-1 RNA". Lineage: Bacteria; Pseudomonadati; Bacteroidota; Flavobacteriia; Flavobacteriales; Flavobacteriaceae. The record is from RNAcentral.